Molecule: ribosomal RNA, 429 nt
Filed under: Actinomycetes bacterium
Lineage: Bacteria; Bacillati; Actinomycetota; Actinomycetes
Description: Actinobacteria bacterium partial 16S ribosomal RNA
Rfam family: Bacterial small subunit ribosomal RNA
Source: RNAcentral
UAGGGAAUCUUCCGCAAUGGGCGAAAGCCUGACGGAGCAACGCCGCGUGAGUGAUGAAGGUCUUCGGAUCGUAAAACUCUGUUAUUAGGGAAGAAUAAAUGUGUAAGUAACUAUGCACGUCUUGACGGUACCUAAUCAGAAAGCCACGGCUAACUACGUGCCAGCAGCCGCGGUAUUACGUAGGUGGCAAGCGUUAUCCGGUAUUAUUGGGCGUAAAGCGCGCGUAGGCGGUUUUUUAAGUCUGAUGUGAAAGCCCACGGCUCAACCGUGGAGGGUCAUUGGAAACUGGAAAACUUAAGUGCAGAAGAGAAAAAUGGAAUUCCAUGUGUAGCGGUGAAAUGCGCAGAGAUAUGGAGGAACACCAGUGGCGAAGGCGACUUUCUAGUCUGUAACUGACGCUGAUGUGCGAAAGCGUGGGGAUCAAACAGG